RNAcentral lists this ribosomal RNA (443 nucleotides) under uncultured bacterium. RNAcentral's name for it is "partial 16S ribosomal RNA". It matches the Rfam family "Bacterial small subunit ribosomal RNA", at positions 338 to 795 of the family's 1533-position model. The record is from RNAcentral.
CCUACGGGGGGCUGCAGUGAGGAAUAUUGGUCAAUGGGCGGGAGCCUGAACCAGCCAAGUCGCGUGAGGGAAGACGGCUUUCGGGUUGUAAACUUCUUUUGUCAGGGACGAAGCAAGUGACGGUACCUGCCGAAUAAGCCACGGCUAACUACGUGCCAGCAGCCGCGGUAAUACGUAGGUGGCAAGCGUUAUCCGGAUUUACUGGGUGUAAAGGGCGUGUAGGCGGGACUGCAAGGCAGAUGUGAAAACCACGGGCUCAACCUGUGGCCUGCAUUUGAAACUGUAGUUCUUGAGUACUGGAGAGGCAGACGGAAUGCCUAGUGUAGCGGUGAAAGGCGUAGAUAUUAGGAGGAACACCAGUGGCGAAGGCGGUCUGCUGGACAGCAACUGACGCUGAGGCGCGAAAGCGUGGGGAGCAAACAGGAUUAGAUACCCGAGUAGUC